Molecule: ribosomal RNA, 274 nt
Filed under: uncultured bacterium
Lineage: Bacteria
Description: partial 16S ribosomal RNA
Rfam family: Archaeal small subunit ribosomal RNA
Source: RNAcentral
AAACCAGCACCUCAAGUGGUCAGGAGGAUUAUUGGGCCUAAAGCAUCCGUAGCCUGUUCUAUAAGUUUCCGGUUAAAUCCACUAGCUCAACUAGUGGGCUGCCGAAAAUACUGUAGAACUAGGGAGUGGGAGAGGUAGACGGUAUUCGGUAGGAAGGGGUAAAAUCCUUUGAUCUAUUGAGGACCACCUGUGGCGAAGGCGGUCUACCAGAACACGUUCGACGGUGAGGGAUGAAAGCUGGGGGAGCAAACCGGAUUAGAAACCCGUGUAGUCC